This 565-nucleotide ribosomal RNA is filed under the name uncultured Glomeromycotina. Its description in RNAcentral is "SSU rRNA". It matches the Rfam family "Eukaryotic small subunit ribosomal RNA", at positions 548 to 1114 of the family's 1831-position model. The record is from RNAcentral. Lineage: Eukaryota; Fungi; Glomeromycota.
UUGGAGGGCAACGUCUGGUGCCAGCAGCCGCGGUAAUUCCAGCUCCAAUAGCGUAUACUAAAGUUGUUGCAGUUAAAAAGCUCGUAGUUGAAUUUCGAGAUCAAACUGUUGGUCGUGCCUUGGUACGUACUGGCAUUAUUGAUUUCUCCCUUCUGAAGAACCACGAUGUCAUUAAUUUGGUGUCUUGGGGAAUCAGGACUGUUACUUUGAAAAAAUUAGAGUGUUUAAAGCAGGCUCACGCUUGAAUACAUUAGCAUGGAAUAAUGAAAUAGGACGUUUGAUUCUAUUUUGUUGGUUUCUAGGAUUGACGUAAUGAUUAAUAGGGAUAGUUGGGGGCAUUAGUAUUCAAUUGUCAGAGGUGAAAUUCUUGGAUUUAUUGAAGACUAACUACUGCGAAAGCAUUUGCCAAGGAUGUUUUCAUUAAUCAAGAACGAAAGUUAGGGGAUCGAAGACGAUCAGAUACCGUCGUAGUCUUAACCAUAAACUAUGCCGACUAGGGAUCGGAUGAUGUUAAUUUUUUAAUGACUCAUUCGGCGCCUUACGGGAAACCAAAGUGUUUGGGUUC